RNAcentral lists this ribosomal RNA (468 nucleotides) under uncultured bacterium. Its description in RNAcentral is "partial 16S ribosomal RNA". It matches the Rfam family "Bacterial small subunit ribosomal RNA", at positions 28 to 507 of the family's 1533-position model. The record is from RNAcentral.
GACGAACGCUGGCGGCGUGCUUAACACAUGCAAGUCGAACGGAAAGGCCCUGCUUUUGUGGGUUGCUCGAGUGGCGAACGGGUGAGUAACACGUGAGUAACCUGCCCUUGACUUUGGGAUAACUUCAGGAAACUGGGGCUAAUACCGGAUAGGAUCUCCUGCUGCAUGGUGUGGGUUGGAAAGUUUCGGCGGUUGGGGAUGGACUCGCGGCUUAUCAGCUUGUUGGUGGGGUAGUGGCUUACCAAGGCUUUGACGGGUAGCCGGCCUGAGAGGGUGACCGGCCACAUUGGGACUGAGAUACGGCCCAGACUGCUACGGGAGGCAGCAGUGGGGAAUAUUGCACAAUGGGCGGAAGCCUGAUGCAGCAACGCCGCGUGCGGGAUGACGGCUUUCGGGUUGUAAACCGCUUUCGCCUGUGACGAAGCGUGAGUGACGGUAAUGGGUAAAGAAGCACCGGCUAACUACGUG